AUGGCAAGACAGCAGUCAGUGGAAAAUGGAGACACACACCCUGUGAAGUGAAGUGAGCUCAGGAGACUGAUGUCAAAAAAAAAUCCCCAGGGGCCAGCCCCACGGUGCAGUGGUUAAGUUCACAUGUUCUGCUUUGGUGGCCCAGGGUUCGCCAGUUCAGAUCCCGGGUGCGGACGUGGCACCGCUUGGCAAGCCAUGCUGUGGUAGGCGUCCCACAUAUAAAGUAGGGGAAGAUGGGCACAGAUGUUAGCUCAGGGCCAGUCUUCCUCAGCAAAAGAGGGGAGGAUUGGCCACAGAUGUUAGUUCAGGUCAAAUCUUCCUCAAAAAAUAAAACGAAAUAAAAUAAGCUUUAAAAACAAACAAACAAACAAAAAACCCCCAAACUUUCUUGUAUGACCCCACGGCUGGAAAUUUAUGUUAAAUCCAGCCUCAAAUGAUACAUGAUUUAUUAAGAAACUAGAGCGUCUCCAGGAAGGGGUGAGGUGGACUAGGGCAGAUACCCUUGGCCAAUUUGGGCCCCCACUCCUUCCCCUGUUAGCCUUAUCUUCAGAGACAGGAUUUGCUGUCGUGGAGCUGCUGUCGUGGAGCUGGCUACCAGGAGGGCCCUGAAACCUCUGGUCAAGGCCACAAGCUACAAGAAAGGAGCAACGUUUGCAGGGAGGGCAGCCCCAGGGACAAGAGAGGAGGAUGUCAAACUGUGGUAUCGUGGCAUCACUGGUACAGAGCGGGGGCAGUGGAAAGAGGCGAGUACCAGCUCUGGGAUCCUGUGAACUGGGCAGAGUGGGUGAGAUGGAAUCCACGAUGCACUUAGCAGACUGCAGGUACCCAGCGGAGGUUGGCAGGCUUCACACUGCCCACACCUGAAGAGCCCUCUCAUUUGACAUCCCAAAUCCCCGGGCCACUCGUCGCUGUGCCUGGAGGUUGAGGUGAUUUUUCAGCUGCAUAGUGAAGCUUUUCCACAGGGCGAGACCCCCGGCCCCAGGCCCUUGCCUCUUUGGUACAGGUGACCUCUGGAGCCCACACAAUGGAUGUGAUGCUGUGAACUUGCUGUUCGCCAGCUGUCUGGAAUCAGACCAACCCAGCAGGCCUAUUCUCACCUCACAUGCUAGGACUCGUGACACUGAAGUGCAGGACUCUCUCAAGUGCUCUGGCAACUUCUCCAAGGACAUGCAAAGUGCCACAGUCCUCUGGGCCUAUAGCCUGACCUGAAGCAUGCGUUUCUGCAGAGCUUCACGGAAAGGGCAUCUCUGAUGAUGGGAAUGCAGCAGUGUGACUGUGUGCUCAUAAAGUAUGGGCCAUCACAGGGUCUUUCCUCAAGCAUCCUUUCUAUUCUUGUGAGAUGAGUAGGGUGGGGUCAAGAUGAUCCCCUACUGGAGGAAACCCCGUGAUUUCAGGGAAGAAGGGCCUAGAGAGACCUGGAGGUGCAUGGGACUCUGAGCACUGAGAAGGGAACAGAGGGGUAGGAGUCUCAGUAGUUCUCAGGGUCUUAGAUGAGACGUGGAAGGAAAGACCACGAGGCUGGAUACAGAGUGGAUUCUGCCAUGGAGAACACGGGACCUGCGGUUAUUGCUACAGGUGAGUGGACAGACAGGGGCGCCCACGGCCCGGGGGCCUGCCUGGGCCUAGCUCUGACUCUGUGGGGACCACUGGAUCCUGGAUCAUCGGAGCCACAGGGGCUAGAGAGCCCAUGGCAUCCAACCCAUUACACUGAAAGGAAGACCGAGGUCUGGAGGAGAAAAGGGCAUGUCCUGGGUCACCUGGUGUAUCAAGGUAGGGUCCAGUCUCCAACCAGGGUCCAGAGCCUUUCCCGUCCAGGCACAGGCAGGUCAAAUGCAGCAGACAGUGCUCUAUCUGGGGCUGGGGACAGGGAAGGGCCUCUAGAGAGACCAUGUGGUGCCCCUGCUUUAUUUCUCAGAUAAUGAAAUGAGUGUCGGAGAGGGGCAGGGACUCGCCUGUGGUCAGACAGCCAGUGAGCU
Long non-coding RNA from Equus caballus (horse), 1976 nucleotides. Lineage: Eukaryota; Metazoa; Chordata; Mammalia; Perissodactyla; Equidae. The record is from Ensembl.